UACGUAGGGGGCAAGCGUUGUCCGGAAUCAUUGGGCGUAAAGGGCGCGUAGGCGGCCUGAUAAGUCAAAGGUGAAAUCCCUCGGUUCAACUGAGGAAUUGCCUUUGAAACUGUCAGGCUUGAGGCCGGGAGGGGGUGGCGGAAUUCCCAGUGUAGCGGUGAAAUGCGUAGAUAUUGGGAGGAACACCAGUGGCGAAGGCGGCCACCUGGACCGGUUCUGACGCUGAUGCGCGAAAGCGUGGGGAGCAAACAGG
RNAcentral lists this ribosomal RNA (253 nucleotides) under uncultured bacterium. Its description in RNAcentral is "partial 16S ribosomal RNA". It matches the Rfam family "Bacterial small subunit ribosomal RNA", at positions 524 to 776 of the family's 1533-position model. The record is from RNAcentral.